Molecule: ribosomal RNA, 312 nt
Filed under: Salmonella enterica subsp. enterica serovar Kentucky
Lineage: Bacteria; Pseudomonadati; Pseudomonadota; Gammaproteobacteria; Enterobacterales; Enterobacteriaceae
Description: bacterial SSU rRNA
Rfam family: Bacterial small subunit ribosomal RNA
Source: RNAcentral
AAUCGGAAUUACUGGGCGUAAAGCGCACGCAGGCGGUCUGUCAAGUCGGAUGUGAAAUCCCCGGGCUCAACCUGGGAACUGCAUUCGAAACUGGCAGGCUUGAGUCUUGUAGAGGGGGGUAGAAUUCCAGGUGUAGCGGUGAAAUGCGUAGAGAUCUGGAGGAAUACCGGUGGCGAAGGCGGCCCCCUGGACAAAGACUGACGCUCAGGUGCGAAAGCGUGGGGAGCAAACAGGAUUAGAUACCCUGGUAGUCCACGCCGUAAACGAUGUCUACUUGGAGGUUGUGCCCUUGAGGCGUGGCUUCCGGAGCUA